This 1347-nucleotide ribosomal RNA is filed under the name uncultured bacterium. RNAcentral's name for it is "bacterial SSU rRNA". It matches the Rfam family "Bacterial small subunit ribosomal RNA", at positions 28 to 1381 of the family's 1533-position model. The record is from RNAcentral.
GACGAACGCUGGCGGCGUGCUUAACACAUGCAAGUCGAACGAUGAAGCCUAGCUUGCUAGGUGGAUUAGUGGCGAACGGGUGAGUAAUACGUGAGUGACCUACCUUUGACUCUGGGAUAAGCCUGGGAAACUGGGUCUAAUACCGGAUACGACCAAUCUCUGCAUGGGGUGUUGGUGGAAAGCGUUAUGGAGUGGUUUUAGAUGGGCUCACGGCCUAUCAGCUUGUUGGUGAGGUAAUGGCUUACCAAGGCGACGACGGGUAGCCGGCCUGAGAGGGUGACCGGCCACACUGGGACUGAGACACGGCCCAGACUCCUACGGGAGGCAGCAGUGGGGAAUAUUGCACAAUGGGCGCAAGCCUGAUGCAGCGACGCCGCGUGAGGGAUGACGGCCUUCGGGUUGUAAACCUCUGUUAGCAUCGAAGAAGCGAAAGUGACGGUAGGUGCAGAGAAAGCGCCGGCUAACUACGUGCCAGCAGCCGCGGUAAUACGUAGGGCGCGAGCGUUGUCCGGUAUUAUUGGGCGUAAAGAGCUUGUAGGCGGUUGGUCGCGUCUGCUGUGAAAGGCCGGGGCUUAACCUCCGGUUUUGCAGUGGGUACGGGCUAACUAGAGUGCAGUAGGGGAGACUGGAAUUCCUGGUGUAGCGGUGGAAUGCACAGAUAUCAGGAGGAACACCGAUGGCGAAGGCAGGUCUCUGGGCUGUAACUGACGCUGAGAAGCGAAAGCAUGGGGAGCGAACAGGAUUAGAUACCCUGGUAGUCCAUGCCGUAAACGUUGGGCACUAGGUGUGGGGGACAUUCCACGUUUUCCGCGCCGUAGCUAACGCAUUAAGUGCCCCGCCUGGGGAGUACGGCCGCAAGGCUAAAACUCAAAGGAAUUGACGGGGGCCCGCACAAGCGGCGGAGCAUGCGGAUUAAUUCGAUGCAACGCGAAGAACCUUACCAAGGCUUGACAUGCAUUAGAUCGCGUCAGAGAUGGCGUUUCCCUUCGGGGCUGGUGUACAGGUGGUGCAUGGUUGUCGUCAGCUCGUGUCGUGAGAUGUUGGGUUAAGUCCCGCAACGAGCGCAACCCUCGUUCUAUGUUGCCAGCGGUUCGGCCGGGGACUCAUAGGAGACUGCCGGGGUUAACUCGGAGGAAGGUGGGGAUGACGUCAAAUCAUCAUGCCCCUUAUGUCUUGGGCUUCACGCAUGCUACAAUGGCCGGUACAGAGGGUUGCGAUACUGUGAGGUGGAGCUAAUCCCUUAAAGCCGGUCUCAGUUCGGAUUGGGGUCUGCAACUCGACCCCAUGAAGUCGGAGUCGCUAGUAAUCGCAGAUCAGCAACGCUGCGGUGAAUACGUUCCCGGGCCU